RNAcentral lists this ribosomal RNA (481 nucleotides) under uncultured bacterium. RNAcentral's name for it is "partial 16S ribosomal RNA". It matches the Rfam family "Bacterial small subunit ribosomal RNA", at positions 28 to 523 of the family's 1533-position model. The record is from RNAcentral.
GACGAACGCUGGCGGCGUGCUUAACACAUGCAAGUCGAGCGGUAAGGCUCCUUCGGGGGUACACGAGCGGCGAACGGGUGAGUAACACGUGAGCAAUCUGCCCAUCACAUCGGGAUAACUUCGGGAAACCGAAGCUAAUACCGAAUACAACCACUUCAGGCAUCUGACGGUGGUGGAAAGUUCCGGCGGUGAUGGAUGAGCUCGCGGCCUAUCAGCUCGUUGGUGGGGUAAUGGCCCACCAAGGCUUCGACGGGUAGCCGGCCUGAGAGGGUGACCGGCCACACUGGGACUGAGACACGGCCCAGACUCCUACGGGAGGCAGCAGUGGGGAAUAUUGGACAAUGGGCGAAAGCCUGAUCCAGCAACGCCGCGUGAGGGAUGACGGCCUUCGGGUUGUAAACCUCUUUCAGCGCCGACGAAGCGAAAGUGACGGUAGGCGCAGAAGAAGCACCGGCCAACUACGUGCCAGCAGCCGCCGUAA